ACACUCAAACCGAGAACCGGUGAAGGCGGGUGAAGUUUAUAUUCCAGCCCCGCCCAUCCGCUGUCUCUUCACCCAGCUCUGAGAUAACCCUUAGCCCGCAAGCGCUCCAGAAACGCCAGCUGAUGCCAAUAACGAUGAUAGCCACGUGGGAGCGAGCAGAGGACAUCUUCACGGGAUAAUCACCUGGCUUCCUCGCAGCUGACAGAGGUCAUGGCUGGAGAUGCAGGAGCCAUCCUGAAAGCUACCUUGAAGUAAAGGCCAGGAGAAUUGCAGAGACCUCGGCUCCCACAUCCUAAAGCUGCCACACCUGACCUGGGCUACUUUCCUCAAGACUUAAACAUCAACUUACAGGAGCCACUCACUCCUUUUGAGAAUUUUGUUAUUUGCAGCCAAACUGAAUUCCUUGCUAUUUCAACAUCUAGAAUGAACAGUUUCUAGAACAGAUACUCCUAACCCACAGUGAACACAUUCUGCGGUAGCUUCAAAGCUUCUGACACACGCACACACCGCCUGCCCUGUGAUUGGCAGAAUAAUGCCCCACACCUCACGAUGUCCCCAUCCAAUCUAAAACAUGACACAAAUGAUCUUGCAACAAAAGAGAAUCAGACUCACAGACAUAGAGAACAGACUUGUGGUUGGAGAGUUGGAUUGGAAGUUUGGGAUUAGCAAAUGCAAGCUAUCACAUAUAGGAUGAAUAAACAAGAUUCUACUGAAUAGCACAGGGAACAAUAUUCAAUAUCCUUUCAUAAACCAUAAAAAAGAAUAUGAAAAAGAAUACACGUACGUAUAGCUGAGUCACUCUGCUGCACAGCAGGAAUUAACACAAGAUUGUAAAUCCACUAUACUUCAACAAAAUAAAGUGCUGUUUUUUUUUUUUGUUUUUUGGUUUUUUUUGUUUUUUUUUUUAAGUCAGGAGUUCCCAUUGUGGCUCAGUGGUUAACAAAUCCGACUAAGAACAAUGAGGUUGCAGGUUCCAUCCCUGGCCUUGCUCAGUGGGUUGGGAAUACGGCAUUGCUGUGAGCUGUGGUGUAGGCUGCAGACGCAGCUUGGAUUCCGAGUUGCUGUGGCUCUGGCGUAGACCAGUGGCUACAGCUUUGACUGGACCCCUAGCCUGGGAACCUCCAUAUGCCACGGGAGUGGCCCUAGAAAAGGCAAAAAGACAAAAAAGAAACUCCCUAUCCUUGGUAUAUAUACACAAUGGAAUACUAUUCAGCCAUUAAAAAAGAACAAAAUAAUGCCAUUUGCAGCAACAUGGAUGGAACUAGAAACUCUCAUACUAAGUGAAGUCAGAAAGAGAAAGACAAAUACCAUAUGGUAUCACUUACAUCUGGAAUCUAAUAAAUGGCACAAGUGAAUUUUUCCACAGAAAAGAAACUCAUGGACAUGGAGAACAGAUUAGUGGUUGCCAAGGGGGAAGGGGAGGGAGUGGGAUGAACUGGAAAUUUGGAGUUAAUAAAUGCAAACUAUUGCCUUUGGAAUGGGUAAACAAUGAGAUCCUGCUGUAUAGGACUGGGAACUAUACAUAUCUAGUCACUUAUGAUGGAGCAUGAUAAUGUGAGAAAAAAGAAUGUAUAUAUGAUUGUGUGACUGGGUCACCUAAGCUGUAUG
This 1608-nucleotide long non-coding RNA is filed under the name Sus scrofa (pig). RNAcentral describes it as "lncRNA (ENSSSCG00025049670.1)". The record is from RNAcentral. Lineage: Eukaryota; Metazoa; Chordata; Mammalia; Artiodactyla; Suidae.